Molecule: non-coding RNA, 306 nt
Organism: Arachis ipaensis
Lineage: Eukaryota; Viridiplantae; Streptophyta; Magnoliopsida; Fabales; Fabaceae
Source: RefSeq, a predicted model, not a curated record
AAGGAAAAAAAAAGUACAAGGACCUAAUUAAAAAUUUCGCAAAACUAUAAAGACCAACAGAAUAAUUAAACCUUCUAUUUAUACUUAAUUAUGUUUCUAAUUUGUUUUGCAAUACAAAGCUGUUCGAGCUACAAUAAGGGAAACGCCUUCAUCCACAGUCAGCAAUAAAGGGCGUUCCCCUUCACCUUUACAACGUGAGAGACCCGGAGCUUUUGCAUUCACUUCAACUUCAACCUUGCCUAAAAAAGAUUUAGAAAAGAAUUCGGUUUCACCACACAGAUUUCCACUGUUACGUACUGGAUCUUU